UGGCACAGAACCACUACCAAAACGCUGAAAAGAACAGGAUAUUAUAAAGUAUACAACAAAAUCACAAGUAAGAAUCUAAGAAAAAAAGAUAUAAUAUGUAUUUUGACUCAGGGGUCAGCAUCAAAGAUCAGUAAGCAUUGCUCAGCCAACAUUUCUGUAAGGAUGGCUGAUCAAUUGCAUUUGACUAGAGCAAAUACAGAAAUGUAAACUUGAAAAUUAGAAAGAAAAGGAAGCCAACACACACAUAUCAUAUUUAUGAUCAAGGAUGUACUUGUAAACCAAAGUAAUUGAUGAAUCCAUGCCUUCCUAAUGAAUCUGCA
This 320-nucleotide unclassified non-coding RNA is filed under the name Hevea brasiliensis (rubber tree). Lineage: Eukaryota; Viridiplantae; Streptophyta; Magnoliopsida; Malpighiales; Euphorbiaceae. The record is from RNAcentral.